GUAUGCCGGUGAUGAGGAAGGAAAAGGAGGGAUUUAUAAUUUUGUUACUAAGCGUGGACUUUGUGCUGGAGAUCGUUCGAAGAUAUCCUGGACCCAAGUGGAGACGGGGUCUGCAAUUACUUGGAAGUACCCAAGUGUUGUUUUGGAAGGUGAUGAUACGGUGGGCGAGUUUUACUCUGUAGCACUCACAAAUAACUAUCAGCAGGCAGACACGGGUACAAAAAUGAUACACAAAGGGAAGAAUACAAGAAGUAGGAUUAUCUCGAAGGGUAUUUCUGUUGGACAUUCAAGAAACUGUUAUAGGGGGCUUGUUCAGGUUCAAUCAAAAGCAGAGAAUGCUAGAAAUUCAUCACAAUGUGAUUCAAUGCUUAUCGGCGACAAUGCCGCUGCAAACA
Molecule: long non-coding RNA, 395 nt
Filed under: Gossypium barbadense (sea-island cotton)
Lineage: Eukaryota; Viridiplantae; Streptophyta; Magnoliopsida; Malvales; Malvaceae
Description: long non-coding RNA (GBAR_LNC003826)
Source: RNAcentral